UCCCUGGUAGCUCAGACGGUAAAGCGUCUGCCUGCAAUGCGGAAGACCCGGGUUCGAUUCCUGGGUCGGGAA
Molecule: transfer RNA, 72 nt
Filed under: Ovis aries (sheep)
Lineage: Eukaryota; Metazoa; Chordata; Mammalia; Artiodactyla; Bovidae
Rfam family: tRNA
About the family: Transfer RNA (tRNA) molecules are approximately 80 nucleotides in length. Their secondary structure includes four short double-helical elements and three loops (D, anti-codon, and T loops).
Source: Rfam by way of RNAcentral